AAUUUAAUGACAAAGAAUUUCGCAGAAAAUAAAGAACAGGAAGAAAAACUAAAAGUGCAUACAAUAAAUGGAUCAAUGGAAUUGAACAAAAGUGUAACCUUGCAAAAUCUUUCCUACUAAACAGAAAUUUUAUUUACAUAAAUUUUCUGAUAAUUAUGAUAUAUUGAUAGGCAGAGGUUAUUUAAAAGAAAGUAAGGCAAAAGGAAAUUAUGAGGAGGAAACAGUGAUGUUAGGAGACACGUUACUUUAUAUAAAGUAUGGAUGAUAUGGAAAAGGAUAAGACCGCAGUAAAGUGCCUUAAUCCACCAUCGUUUAAAAAGAAAAUUGAAAAGGAUAAGACCGCAUUAGAAUGCCUUAAUCCACCUUUGUCAAUUUACCAGUCAUUUAAUUUUGCCAUAAAUAAUGAAUUAAAAGAAUGUAAUGAAUACAGGUUAGAACACUUGAAUGAGAAAGAAAGAAAAGCUUAAAAAAGGUUUCAUUUGAAUUUAAUGACAUCCAGUACAAGGAAGGUGAAAAUUUGACUUUUACAAGUACUAUUAAACAUUGAAUUCAAACCAGGCAUGAAGAUCCAGUAUAUAGAAAGCCAUAUAAAUACCGUCAAACUUUUGAUGUCAAGUCAAUAAACAAAUAAAUGAAAUGAUUGAACAGGGAAUAAUUCGUAAAUCAAAAUCUCUCUAUUGUUCACCAAUCUGGAUAGUUCCAAAAAAGAACGAUGCAUCAGAAAAAAUGAAAUUCAGAUUAGUAGUAGACUACAGAAAUUUAAACGAAAUCUAGCUUAGCUAAAGGAUUCCAUCAAAUUCAAAUGGAACCAGAAUCAAUAGCUAAAACGGCAUUCUCUAAUCAAGGCCUUCAAGGAAUCAUUUUACGUGGUUUCCGAGACAAAUGAGAGGAAAACCGAGAAUCUACAAAAAUUAAUUAUUUAUUAGAAUUGCAAUUUCAAUUGGAGGAUAAAAAAAUUAUUGGCGGAAUUCACCGAAUAACACAACAGGGCUAAUCCGCAGAAGACUGCUGAAGGAAAACCACUCGAAACCCCUUGAAUAAGAGGGAAUGCUGAGUGAACAUUGCUGUACCUGUCCUCGCAAAGAAAGCAGGUUCUGGCCAAAAGCAUUUGGUUACGUUGUGCUAAUAUAAAUGUCAUUGAUGUAUUUUGGUAUGUAUGUCGAUACAGGCUAUCGAUAGGCGUAGGCAAGGCUUGUGAAUUAAUGCGGACCUACCUUCUUCGUUCCCGAUUUUGUGAUGAAAAAGUAGGUAGGAUGUGCUCCUUGUGAUCCUUGGUUUUGGUUUCGUGGGUGUUGGAUUGUUAUAUCGGUGAUAAAAUAAAGUUUGUGAUUGUGUAACGUGAAGGGCACGCGCUGCACGGGACCUGGGAAUCAAGUCCUACGCUUGGAUGUGCUUAGCAAGAACGGAUAUGGGCUUCGUUCGGUGGGUUUUCCCAAGACUCCGCGAGGCUGGUUGCGGCAAAAGCUGUAACGUGAAGCUUAACAUCACUACGGACAGUGGCGCAGCUGCUUACCAACUGCAGCAUCUGUAAUUCCAUGCCAGACCCAAGUCAAGGGUUCCACUAGACCCUCUUACAUUUCAUGUUGCUGUAAUCUUUUUUCUAUGUUUAAAAAAAAAACAUAAAAUAUUAUUUACAUGCAAGAUAACUACCGAAGCUUGAGAUUGCCUAG
This is a long non-coding RNA of Drosophila biarmipes, 1670 nucleotides long. RefSeq lists it as uncharacterized. Lineage: Eukaryota; Metazoa; Arthropoda; Insecta; Diptera; Drosophilidae. The transcript has 3 exons. The record is from RefSeq and is a predicted model, not a curated record.